RNAcentral lists this ribosomal RNA (237 nucleotides) under Candida albicans. RNAcentral's name for it is "partial 28S ribosomal RNA". It matches the Rfam family "Eukaryotic large subunit ribosomal RNA", at positions 1 to 234 of the family's 3401-position model. The record is from RNAcentral. Lineage: Eukaryota; Fungi; Ascomycota; Pichiomycetes; Serinales; Debaryomycetaceae.
UUUGACCUCAAAUCAGGUAGGACUACCCGCUGAACUUAAGCAUAUCAAUAAGCGGAGGAAAAGAAACCAACAGGGAUUGCCUCAGUAGCGGCGAGUGAAGCGGCAAAAGCUCAAAUUUGAAAUCUGGCGUCUUUGGCGUCCGAGUUGUAAUUUGAAGAAGGUAUCUUUGGGCCCGGCUCUUGUCUAUGUUCCUUGGAACAGGACGUCACAGAGGGUGAGAAUCCCGUGCGAUGAGAU